GUGGGGAAUAUUGGACAAUGGGCGAAAGCCUGAUCCAGCCAUGCCGCGUGUGUGAAGAAGGUCUUCGGAUUGUAAAGCACUUUAAGUUGGGAGGAAGGGCAGUAAGUUAAUACCUUGCUGUUUUGACGUUACCGACAGAAUAAGCACCGGCUAACUUCGUGCCAGCAGCCGCGGUAAUACGAAGGGUGCAAGCGUUAAUCGGAAUUACUGGGCGUAAAGCGCGCGUAGGUGGUUCAGUAAGUUGGAAGUGAAAUCCCCGGGCUCAACCUGGGAACUGCUUUCAAAACUGCUGAGCUAGAGUACGGUAGAGGGUGGUGGAAUUUCCUGUGUAGCGGUGAAAUGCGUAGAUAUAGGAAGGAACACCAGUGGCGAAGGCGACCACCUGGACUGAUACUGACACUGAGGUGCGAAAGCGUGGGGAGCAAACAGGAUUAGAAACCCCUGUAGUCC
RNAcentral lists this ribosomal RNA (450 nucleotides) under uncultured bacterium. RNAcentral describes it as "partial 16S ribosomal RNA". It matches the Rfam family "Bacterial small subunit ribosomal RNA", at positions 354 to 796 of the family's 1533-position model. The record is from RNAcentral.